Molecule: ribosomal RNA, 639 nt
Filed under: Burkholderia sp. Mp275
Lineage: Bacteria; Pseudomonadati; Pseudomonadota; Betaproteobacteria; Burkholderiales; Burkholderiaceae
Description: bacterial SSU rRNA
Rfam family: Bacterial small subunit ribosomal RNA
Source: RNAcentral
GGCGAGUGGCGAACGGGUGAGUAAUACAUCGGAACGUGUCCUGGAGUGGGGGAUAGCCCGGCGAAAGCCGGAUUAAUACCGCAUACGCUCUGUGGAGGAAAGCGGGGGAUCUUUCGGGACCUCGCGCUCAAGGGGCGGCCGAUGGCAGAUUAGGUAGUUGGUGGGGUAAAGGCCUACCAAGCCGACGAUCUGUAGCUGGUCUGAGAGGACGACCAGCCACACUGGGACUGAGACACGGCCCAGACUCCUACGGGAGGCAGCAGUGGGGAAUUUUGGACAAUGGGCGCAAGCCUGAUCCAGCAAUGCCGCGUGUGUGAAGAAGGCCUUCGGGUUGUAAAGCACUUUUGUCCGGAAAGAAAACCUCUGGGUUAAUACCCCGGGGGGAUGACGGUACCGGAAGAAUAAGCACCGGCUAACUACGUGCCAGCAGCCGCGGUAAUACGUAGGGUGCGAGCGUUAAUCGGAAUUACUGGGCGUAAAGCGUGCGCAGGCGGUGAUGUAAGACCGAUGUGAAAUCCCCGGGCUUAACCUGGGAACUGCAUUGGUGACUGCAUCGCUCGAGUAUGGCAGAGGGGGGUAGAAUCCACGUGUAGCAGUGAAAUGCGUAGAGAUGUGGAGGAAUACCGAUGGCGAAGGCAG